RNAcentral lists this long non-coding RNA (2139 nucleotides) under Pseudonaja textilis. RNAcentral describes it as "lncRNA (ENSPTXG00000003701.1)". The record is from RNAcentral. Lineage: Eukaryota; Metazoa; Chordata; Lepidosauria; Squamata; Elapidae.
CAGCAGACAAGUAUAGCAUUGCACUGUAAGUUGGGCAUAUAAUGUUGGGUGUUUGUAAAAAAAAAAAAAAAGACUCAAAAAAGACAAGCAUCAAGGUGUGGAUGUGUGCAAAGCAGUGAAAAGAUACAGGUACAAAGACCAGAAUUUCCUAAAGUUAUUGUUUGUGUCUAGGUGCGUGACGACUACUACCGCUGGUUGUGCCAGGGCAGACGUGGCAAGACCAAGAGUUCUGACAAGUACUCAGAGUUCAGUUCCACAUCCGGUUCCAACACGUUAAGGUCUCCCAAAACUUUGAAAGAAUCUGGAAUGUAACAAGAGUUUUCAGAAAUAACGAAUUCCAAGUGUGCUGCUUUGCAUAUAAACAUUUCCAGGGAAAAGAUGGACUGAAAACAGAACUGUUACCUGCUGAUAACAGACCUACUGCAAUAAGGAGACUGAAAUUGCCAGAAACCCAUGCAGGGAGCCAUCUAGCAAGCUCCGGAACUGGGCCCACCUUAAUCUUAUAUUGGUACAGGACUUCAUCAGACGUUCCCUUUUCUUUCAUGCUAAGGCUCUUCUCUUUUAAAGAGAGGAUCGUUUCUUUUUAAAAGGUACUCCUACAUGUAACACUUCCAUAAAAGGUCCUUACCGUGGACACUGGUUAGCCUUUUGCCUGGCUAUUUAUGCAUCAAAAUUUUGAAGCGAAUUUUGCAUAACAGGCAUGAUCUUUUUCAUCCAGUCUAUGGAUUGAUCUGAUGGCACUUCCCCUAAUGUUUAUUAAGUUGUUUUCAAGUAUAAACAUAUGAUUAUCUGCAGUACUCAUUAAGAGAGAUAGAAACAAGAGUGGUAAAUAUGCUAUAUCAAAGAGUGUUCAAGGAGUUAGGCAAAACAGGAAGGAUGCUGUAAUUUAGGACCGGACAAAGAACUUCACAUUAUUUUGCUUUGUGGUUAUAUUUGUCUAAAAGAUGAUAUAAAUUUUGAAUUCUGCCCAUAAAGCCAGGUCUAGAAGCUAUUUGAAUAGUCCUGCACAUAAAAAAUGUAUCUAAAUGUAGAAACAUAGCAUGGUGUAGGCAAAAUACAGACCUUUCAGAGUGGCCUUUUUUAAAAGGCCUUUUAUUUAUUUUUCAUAGAAAACUAAGCUUUCAUUUGUAACCUUGCACACUGAGCCAGGUUUAUUUAGAUAUAAGUAACCCUGUGUUAUAAAUCUGUUUAAAUUAUAGUUUGCUUCCAUUGCCUAAAGAUUUUAUAGUUCUGCUUCUUGGUGCAUUAAAUGUCUGCCAUGCUCAAAAUUCAGAUUCAGCUCAAAAGGCAGAUCUAAAUAAUCUAGCAUCUCAUGGGCUGCUUCAUAUCUGACACGUUUGAGUAGAAGCACAGAAAUAGAGAAAGAGUUUUCAUUUGAUGUUGUUUUACUGCUGUUCCCUGGAGUUCUGCAUGCGGUAACAAGACACAAUGACAAAAAUGGGUACAGGGUAUACAGCAAUCUCAGCUACAAGCAUGCAGGUAAUGCUGUUUAUUCAGACAAGUAGCAACUUGAGCCAGUGAAAAGGAAAAAGUUUUGGUGGGUUUUUUUUUUAUUACCUCGAUGAAACACCUCCAGGGAUCAGCAGAGCUUUGGUUAGAUUAGAAUGUUAAAAGCAAUAUCUCAAGAAGCGGGGAUGGAAAAACUCUUCCAUAUUCUUAUAAGAAAACAACACAAAUACAAAAUCUUCAGGAGUGAAGGAUGACUCAGUUUUCCUUUUUUUUUUCCUAUGAAGUUAAUGAUUUUUUUCUACAGUGGCCAUUCCCAGAACAUAUUGAAGAACUUCCUGUUAAGGCCAACUAGGCUUGAAUUGUUUUCAGUAUUCUUAACUUUUUUUGUAAAGUGUUUGGUAUUUUUUUUUACUUGUAUCUCAAAUUCCAGGUGUUGUCUUAUUUGCAUGUAAAUAGCAAAACACCAGAGUUCACAGCUGAUAUUUUUCUACUGAAUUUUGCUGUUAAAAUUAUUCACAAGUUGGACCUAGUCUUUGCAUGCACCUUUUUAUAGUAUUGGAAUGUGUAAAUUUGUACCUGAAGGAAAAAAUGGAAUGGAUUCAUUUUACUGAUGCUUCUACUAUGGUCUCUCAGUUUCAGUAACUGCCCUUUCUUGAAAUAUAUUCACUCUAAGAGUGCCUUUAAAGAUGU